This is a long non-coding RNA of Homo sapiens (human), 1597 nucleotides long. Ensembl annotates it as long intergenic non-protein coding RNA 898. The record is from Ensembl. Lineage: Eukaryota; Metazoa; Chordata; Mammalia; Primates; Hominidae.
GGGGCUGGUCCUGCCUGGUCAGCCCCCAGGGGGCUUUGCCCAGACACCCCUUCCCCACCCAUGGCUCUGCUGAUUUCUCUAUAGCUGCCACCCUCUGAAAAGGGAGCUGGCAGAGUAGUUCUUAGACAUGGCACCUGGCCACCUCUGUGGCUGAAGAAGAAGGGGGUUGAGGAUUGGGGUACACACCUGUCAGUCUCCAUGCAAUGCCCCAAAGUGGACCACUGACCCCACACCACGCUGUUCUCCUCUGAGUUUUCUCACCUCUGUCCAAAUGGCUGCAGAAGCCAAAAGCCCCAGAGCCCAGCUCCCCUUCCCUCCUUUCUCUUCCAUCCUUCCAUCCUUCCAUGAGCCUGCCCCUCAUCCUCCUCAGGGCUGGAACUGGCUGCCGGAUUCCUCCCUGGCUCCGUGGGGGCUGGCUCAGCAAUCUGAGCUGCCGAUGGCUCUGUGGUCCAGCUGGGAGGAUUCAUGCCCCAUUGGGGCUGAGAGGAAUGAGGUGAGGGCUGUGGGGUUUGCCCAGAAUCUCCUGAAAUAUCGGGCCCAGGAACUACAGCAGGACUCUCAUUCCGCCUUCUGGCCACUGUUGGGGGUGACACUGGCAGGAUCCAGGGGCUCUGGAAAGCUCCAGGGGAAAUUUGAGGCAUAACCCAGCUUCUCUGAGACGGAACUCAGGGAGGAUCCAGCUCAAUCCUACAGAGGCGACCCCAAGGAAGGACCUGCCCAGGGUCACUUGGAGAGCUGGGCGGGAGGAGGGAGAAACCUCCCCCGUUCAGAGUGACAAAGCCCCCCUUGCCUCAGGGAUGGCUGAGAUCCAAGUCCUCAAAACACGCCGCCAUCUGGAGGGUGUGAGAGCGAGGUCCGUCCUCAGCAUGGACGCUGCAGUGCACACUGUUCCGUGCCAGGUGCUGGCUGACCCUGCCCUGUGGGAGGUGAUGGACAGGCACACAGGGGGAGCCCCGCAAACAAGGGGCCCUGUUACAGCAGAGUGGGAGAGCGCCUGGUAGGACGCCAAGCACCGUGGCCGGGCUGCAGAGAGGCCUGCGGGACUUGUAGACAAGACGUCAUGGAGAAGGCGGAGCUCCCAUGGGCCUUGCAGGUUUCACCAAGCAAGAGCGGAGAAGACACAGGCUGGACAAAGGAAGGUGGACGGGACAGCCAGCCGUGCAGCAGCCUCACAGGACACAGCUAUCAUUCCAUCAGGUGGGCGGCACUGCAUGAUCCCCACUAAAUUACCAGCACCUGGACUGGUGCCUGGCCCAUGGUGGAUGCCCAGGACACGCAUGCGGACUGUUUGAAGGGGGAAGGAGUGAGUAGCCCCCAGCCCUGGAGCUGGCUUCAUUCCACCUGCACGGUUCCUGGAAUGCACCAAACCCUCUCCUCCUGCCUCUUUCUACCUGCUGUGCCUGGAGACAGCAAGAGCUCCCUCUUCUCCAAGACUCCCCCGUCCCACAGCUGUCUGCCGCUCCUUGUCGGACCCGCACUCCAGGGUCACGUGUUCGGAGGAGGCUCUGGGCUUCUCUAAGAGCACCCUCGUCACCGCUACUCAAUUCUCCUGUUUGAUUUUUGCAGGGCAGCGCUGUCCAAUGGAAACAAUGCAGAC